GGCGCGAAACCUUCGCAAUGUGCGAAAGCACGACGAGGUUAUUCCGAGUGAUUUCCGCUGAGGAAAUCUUUUCUCAGAUCUAAAAAGUCUGGGGAAUAAGGGGAGGGCAAGUCUGGUGUCAGCCGCCGCGGUAAUACCAGCUCCUCGAGUGGUCAGGGCGUUUAUUGGGCCUAAAGCAUCCGUAGCCGGCUCAGUUGGUCUCCUGUUAAAUCCAGCGGCUCAACCGUUGGUCUGCAGGAGAUACCGCUGGGCUAGGAGGCGGGAGAGGCGGACGGUACUCCGAGGGUAGGGGUAAAAUCCUUUGAUCCCCGGAAGACCACCAGUGGCGAAGGCGGUCCGCCAGAACGCGCUCGACGGUGAGGGAUGAAAGCUGGGGGAGCGAACCGGAUUAGAUACCCGGGUAGUCCCAGCCGUAAACGAUGCGAGCUAGGUGACACAACGCCUUCGGGGCGUUGUGCUGCCCGCAGGGAAGCCGUUAAGCUCGCCGCCUGGGGAGUACGGACGCAAGUCUGAAACUUAAAGGAAUUGGCGGGGGAGCACCACAAGGGGUGAAGCCUGCGGUUCAAUUGGAGUCAACGCCGGGAAUCUUACCGGGAGCGACAGCAGAUUGAAGGUCAAGCUGAGACUUUACCAGACGAGCUGAGAGGAGGUGCAUGGCCGUCGCCAGCUCGUGUCGUGCGUCGUCCCUGUUAAGUCAUGGCGACGAGCGAGACCCCUACUUCUAAUUGCUUUAGCAGACA
This 740-nucleotide ribosomal RNA is filed under the name uncultured Thermoprotei archaeon. Its description in RNAcentral is "bacterial SSU rRNA". It matches the Rfam family "Archaeal small subunit ribosomal RNA", at positions 338 to 1078 of the family's 1478-position model. Lineage: Archaea; Thermoproteati; Thermoproteota; Thermoprotei. The record is from RNAcentral.